AACGAACGCUGGCGGUAUGCCUAACACAUGCAAGUCGAACGAGAGCUUCGUGUCUAGUUGCGCUUACGUGCGUCAAGUGGCGGAACCUGCCGUUAGACAUCGGAAAACACUCUGUCGGGGGUGCUAAUACCGGGUAAUGUCCUCGGAUAACAGAUUCAUCGUCCUUGGAGGGGCCCGCGUUGGAUUAGCCAGUGGGUAGGGUAAAAGCCUACCAAGGAGACGAUCCAUAGCUGGGUUGAGAGGAUGAUCAGCCACACUGGGACUGAGACACGGCCCAGACUCCUACGGGAGGCAGCAGUGGGGAAUAUUGGACUAUGGGCGAAAGCCUGAUCCAGCAAUGCCGCGUGAGUGAUGAAGGCCUUAGGGUUGUAAAGCUCUUUUACCCGGGAUGAUAAUGACAGUACCGGGAGAAUAAGCUCCGGCUAACUCCGUG
This 433-nucleotide ribosomal RNA is filed under the name uncultured bacterium. Its description in RNAcentral is "partial 16S ribosomal RNA". It matches the Rfam family "Bacterial small subunit ribosomal RNA", at positions 29 to 507 of the family's 1533-position model. The record is from RNAcentral.